Molecule: ribosomal RNA, 201 nt
Filed under: Klebsiella pneumoniae
Lineage: Bacteria; Pseudomonadati; Pseudomonadota; Gammaproteobacteria; Enterobacterales; Enterobacteriaceae
Description: partial 23S ribosomal RNA
Rfam family: Bacterial large subunit ribosomal RNA
Source: RNAcentral
AACGGGUAGUGCCCAGAGUCUGAAUCAGCUUGUGUGUUAGUGGAACGGUCUGGAAAGUCCGACGGUACAGGGUGAUAGUCCCGUACACCAAAAUGCACAGGUUGUGAACUCGAAGAGUAGGGCGGGACACGUGGUAUCCUGUCUGAAUAUGGGGGGACCAUCCUCCAAGGCUAAAUACUCCUGACUGACCGAUAGUGAACC